MicroRNA precursor from Jaculus jaculus (lesser Egyptian jerboa), 102 nucleotides. NCBI's taxonomy places the organism in Eukaryota, Metazoa, Chordata, Mammalia, Rodentia, Dipodidae. The record is from Ensembl.
CCUGGCCAUGUGACUUGUGGGCUUCCCUUUGUCAUCCUUUGCCUAAGGCUCUGGGCAGGGCAGGGACAACAAAGGGGUGCUCAGUUGUCACCUCCCACAGCA